GGAAUCUGGGAGGACCAUCUCCUAAGGCUAAAUACUCUCUAGUGACCGAUAGUGAACCAGUACCGUGAGGGAAAGGUGAAAAGCACCCCGGAAGGGGAGUGAAAUAGAACCUGAAACCGUGUGCUUACAAGUAGUCAGAGCCCGUUAAUGGGUGAUGGCGUGCCUUUUGUAGAAUGAACCGGCGAGUUACGAUUUGAUGCAAGGUUAAGCAGUAAAUGUGGAGCCGUAGCGAAAGCGAGUCUGAAUAGGGCGUUUAGUAUUUGGUCGUAGACCCGAAACCAGGUGAUCUACCCUUGGUCAGGUUGAAGUUCAGGUAACACUGAAUGGAGGACCGAACCGACUUACGUUGAAAAGUGAGCGGAUGAACUGAGGGUAGCGGAGAAAUUCCAAUCGAACCUGGAGAUAGCUGGUUCUCUCCGAAAUAGCUUUAGGGCUAGCCUCAAGUGAUGAUUAUUGGAGGUAGAGCACUGUUUGGACGAGGGGCCCCUCUCGGGUUACCGAAUUCAGACAAACUCCGAAUGCCAAUUAAUUUAACUUGGGAGUCAGAACAUGGGUGAUAAGGUCCGUGUUCGAAAGGGAAACAGCCCAGACCACCAGCUAAGGUCCCAAAAUAUAUGUUAAGUGGAAAAGGAUGUGGCGUUGCCCAGACAACUAGGAUGUUGGCUUAGAAGCAGCCAUCAUUUAAAGAGUGCGUAAUAGCUCACUAGUCGAGUGACACUGCGCCGAAAAUGUACCGGGGCUAAACAUAUUACCGAAGCUGUGGAUUGUCCUUUGGACAAUGGUAGGAGAGCGUUCUAAGGGCGUUGAAGCAUGAUCGUAAGGACAUGUGGAGCGCUUAGAAGUGAGAAUGCCGGUGUGAGUAGCGAAAGACGGGUGAGAAUCCCGUCCACCGAUUGACUAAGGUUUCCAGAGGAAGGCUCGUCCGCUCUGGGUUAGUCGGGUCCUAAGCUGAGGCCGACAGGCGUAGGCGAUGGAUAACAGGUUGAUAUUCCUGUACCACCUAUAAUCGUUUUAAUCGAUGGGGGGACGCAGUAGGAUAGGCGAAGCGUGCGAUUGGAUUGCACGUCUAAGCAGUAAGGCUGAGUAUUAGGCAAAUCCGGUACUCGUUAAGGCUGAGCUGUGAUGGGGAGAAGACAUUGUGUCUUCGAGUCGUUGAUUUCACACUGCCGAGAAAAGCCUCUAGAUAGAAAAUAGGUGCCCGUACCGCAAACCGACACAGGUAGUCAAGAUGAGAAUUCUAAGGUGAGCGAGCGAACUCUCGUUAAGGAACUCGGCAAAAUGACCCCGUAACUUCGGGAGAAGGGGUGCUCUUUAGGGUUAACGCCCAGAAGAGCCGCAGUGAAUAGGCCCAAGCGACUGUUUAUCAAAAACACAGGUCUCUGCUAAACCGUAAGGUGAUGUAUAGGGGCUGACGCCUGCCCGGUGCUGGAAGGUUAAGAGGAGUGGUUAGCUUCUGCGAAGCUACGAAUCGAAGCCCCAGUAAACGGCGGCCGUAACUAUAACGGUCCUAAGGUAGCGAAAUUCCUUGUCGGGUAAGUUCCGACCCGCACGAAAGGCGUAACGAUUUGGGCACUGUCUCAACGAGAGACUCGGUGAAAUCAUAGUACCUGUGAAGAUGCAGGUUACCCGCGACAGGACGGAAAGACCCCGUGGAGCUUUACUGUAGCCUGAUAUUGAAAUUCGGCACAGCUUGUACAGGAUAGGUAGGAGCCUUUGAAACGUGAGCGCUAGCUUACGUGGAGGCGCUGGUGGGAUACUACCCUAGCUGUGUUGGCUUUCUAACCCGCACCACUUAUCGUGGUGGGAGACAGUGUCAGGCGGGCAGUUUGACUGGGGCGGUCGCCUCCUAAAAGGUAACGGAGGCGCUCAAAGGUUCCCUCAGAAUGGUUGGAAAUCAUUCAUAGAGUGUAAAGGCAUAAGGGAGCUUGACUGCGAGACCUACAAGUCGAGCAGGGUCGAAAGACGGACUUAGUGAUCCGGUGGUUCCGCAUGGAAGGGCCAUCGCUCAACGGAUAAAAGCUACCCCGGGGAUAACAGGCUUAUCUCCCCCAAGAGUUCACAUCGACGGGGAGGUUUGGCACCUCGAUGUCGGCUCAUCGCAUCCUGGGGCUGUAGUCGGUCCCAAGGGUUGGGCUGUUCGCCCAUUAAAGCGGUACGCGAGCUGGGUUCAGAACGUCGUGAGACAGUUCGGUCCCUAUCCGUCGUGGGCGUAGGAAAUUUGAGAGGAGCUGUCCUUAGUACGAGAGGACCGGGAUGGACAUACCUCUGGUGUACCAGUUGUCGUGCCAACGGCAUAGCUGGGUAGCUAUGUGUGGACGGGAUAAGUGCUGAAAGCAUCUAAGCAUGAAGCCCCCCUCAAGAUGAGAUUUCCCAACUUCGGUUAUAAGAUCCCUCAAAGAUGAUGAGGUUAAUAGGUUCGAGGUGGAAGCAUGGUGACAUGUGGAGCUGACGAAUACUAAUCGAUCGAAGACUUAAUCAA
Molecule: ribosomal RNA, 2479 nt
Filed under: Staphylococcus aureus
Lineage: Bacteria; Bacillati; Bacillota; Bacilli; Caryophanales; Staphylococcaceae
Also listed under: 56 other names
Description: partial 23S ribosomal RNA
Rfam family: Bacterial large subunit ribosomal RNA
Source: RNAcentral